RNAcentral lists this ribosomal RNA (458 nucleotides) under uncultured bacterium. RNAcentral describes it as "partial 16S ribosomal RNA". It matches the Rfam family "Bacterial small subunit ribosomal RNA", at positions 338 to 795 of the family's 1533-position model. The record is from RNAcentral.
CCUACGGGGGGCAGCAGUGAGGAAUAUUGGUCAAUGGGCGAGAGCCUGAACCAGCCAAGUCGCGUGAGGGAGUACUGCCCUAUGGGUUGUAAACCUCUUUUGUCGGGGAGCAAAAGCCGGACGUGUCCGGCUGUGAGAGUACCCGAAGAAAAAGCAUCGGCUAACUCCGUGCCAGCAGCCGCGGUAAUACGGAGGAUGCGAGCGUUCUCCGGAUUUAUUGGGUUUAAAGGGUGCGCAGGCGGAUUUUUAAGUCAGCGGUAAAAUCGUGGGGCUCAACCCCAUCCAGCCGUUGAAACUGGGGAUCUAGAGUGUGCGAGAGGUAUGCGGAAUGCGUGGUGUAGCGGUGAAAUGCAUAGAUAUCACGCAGAACCCCGAUUGCGAAGGCAGCAUACCGGUGCACAACUGACGCUCAGGCACGAAAGCGUGGGUAUCGAACAGGAUUAGAUACCCCGGUAGUC